Molecule: ribosomal RNA, 371 nt
Filed under: Rhyncaphytoptus sp. SC8
Lineage: Eukaryota; Metazoa; Arthropoda; Arachnida; Trombidiformes; Diptilomiopidae
Description: partial small subunit ribosomal RNA
Source: RNAcentral
CCUAUAUUGCUAGGAGUGACGGGCGAUAUGUGCAUAGCCCCUGACUUUUUUGGGAAAAAAUUUUUUUUUACCUUAAUUUCAAGUCCAUCUUAUCUUAAAUACUUGUUUUUAAAUCCGGUUCGUAUCAUUAAUGUAUCCCAUAGUGAACCCAAAUUAUUGACUUUGUCUUGAUUUGUUUUUUAAACUUCUUUUUUUGUUGAAAAAAUAAAAUGGUAAGGCAAUUCUUUUUAAACAAUGAUAUGAAAGUUUAAAAAUUUGGUGCAUUUAAUCGUGGAUUGUCGAUUUAUAAAACAGGAUCCCCUGAGUAGAUUGGCUACCGCCAUUUCAUUAAGGUUUGCUUUUUAAAGUUACUUUCCAAUUACAAAUUAAAA